Molecule: ribosomal RNA, 436 nt
Filed under: uncultured bacterium
Lineage: Bacteria
Description: bacterial SSU rRNA
Rfam family: Bacterial small subunit ribosomal RNA
Source: RNAcentral
AACGAACGCUGGCGGCAGGCUUAACACAUGCAAGUCGAACGCCCGUAGCAAUACGGGAGUGGCGGACGGGUGAGUAACGCGUGGGAACGUACCCUGAGGUACGGAAUAACCGAGGGAAACUUCGGCUAAUACCGUAUGAGCCCCGCAAGGGGGAAGAUUUAUCGCCUUGGGAGCGGCCCGCGUCGGAUUAGCUAGUUGGUGGGGUAACGGCCUACCAAGGCUUCGAUCCGUAGCUGGUCUGAGAGGACGAUCAGCCACACUGGGACUGAGACACGGCCCAGACUCCUACGGGAGGCAGCAGUGGGGAAUCUUGCGCAAUGGGGGCAACCCUGACGCAGCCAUGCCGCGUGAACGAUGAAGGCCUUAGGGUUGUAAAGUUCUUUUACCCGUGACGAUGAUGACGGUAACGGGGGAAUAAGCUCCGGCUAACUUCGUG